RNAcentral lists this ribosomal RNA (253 nucleotides) under uncultured bacterium. RNAcentral describes it as "partial 16S ribosomal RNA". It matches the Rfam family "Bacterial small subunit ribosomal RNA", at positions 524 to 776 of the family's 1533-position model. The record is from RNAcentral.
UACGAAAAGGACUAGCGUUGUUCGGAAUUACUGAGCGUAAAGCGCACGUAGGCGGAUACUUAAGUCAGGGGUGAAAUCCCGGAGCUCAACCCCGGAACUGCCUUUGAUACUGGGUAUCUCGAGUCCGGAAGAGGUGAGUGGAAUUCCGAGUGUAGAGAUGAAAUUCGUAGAUAUUCGGAGGAACACCAGUGGCGAAGGCGGCUCACUGGUCCGGUACUGACGCUGAAGUGCGAAAGCAUGAGGAGCAAACAGG